This 322-nucleotide unclassified non-coding RNA is filed under the name soil metagenome. Its description in RNAcentral is "partial contains 5.8S ribosomal RNA, internal transcribed spacer 2, and large subunit ribosomal RNA". The stretch from base 1 to 120 matches the Rfam family "5.8S ribosomal RNA", at positions 35 to 154 of the family's 154-position model. The record is from RNAcentral.
GAUGAAGAACGUAGCGAAAUGCGAUAAGUAAUGCGAAUUGCAGAAUUCAGUGAGUCAUCGAAUCUUUGAACGCACAUUGCGCCCUGUGGUAUUCCGCAGGGCAUGCCUGUUCGAGCGUCAUUUCAACCCUCAAGCUCUGCUUGGUGUUGGGCCCUGCCCGCUGCGGCCGGCCCUAAAGACAGUGGCGGUGCCGCCUGGCCCUGAGCGUAGUACAUCUCUCGCUCCAGUGCCCGGUGGUAGCCUGCCAGAACCCCAACUCUCGUGGUUGACCUCGGAUCAGGUAGGGAUACCCGCUGAACUUAAGCAUAUCAAAAGCGGAGGA